Camellia sinensis is the source of this 466-nucleotide non-coding RNA. The record is from RefSeq and is a predicted model, not a curated record. NCBI's taxonomy places the organism in Eukaryota, Viridiplantae, Streptophyta, Magnoliopsida, Ericales, Theaceae.
AGAAAUCAGUUGUAUCUAUCUUGUAGUGGGGAAAGUGGAGCUGGGAAAACAGAAACAGCAAAAAUUGCAAUGCAAUACUUGGCUGCUCUUGGUGGUGGCAGUGGUGGGGUAGAAAGCGAAAUCCUUCAGACAAGCUGCAUUCUGGAAGCAUUUGGGAAUGCAAAAACAUCCAGGAAUGACAAUUCUAGCCGAUUUGGGAAGUUGAUUGAGAUUCAUUUUAGUGCAAUGGGGAAAAUAUGUGGCGCUCAAAUCUAGACUUUUCUGCUUGAAAAGUCAAGAGUGGUUCAGCUCGCUCAUGGAGAAAGGUGAUACAAUAUCUUUUACCAACUUUGUGCUGGUGCUCCGUCUGGCCUCAAAGAUAGACUGAAUCUAAAAUCGGCUGUUGAGUUCCAUUAUCUAAGUCAGAGUGGCUGCUUGGCAAUUGAUGAUGUUGAUGAUGCUAGGAAAUUUCAAAUGCUUAUGGUAA